This 493-nucleotide ribosomal RNA is filed under the name uncultured bacterium. Its description in RNAcentral is "partial 16S ribosomal RNA". It matches the Rfam family "Bacterial small subunit ribosomal RNA", at positions 29 to 508 of the family's 1533-position model. The record is from RNAcentral.
AGUGAACGCUGGCGGUAGGCCUAACACAUGCAAGUCGAACGGCAGCACAGUAAGAGCUUGCUCUUACGGGUGGCGAGUGGCGGACGGGUGAGGAAUACAUCGGAAUCUACUUUUUCGUGGGGGAUAACGUAGGGAAACUUACGCUAAUACCGCAUACGACCUACGGGUGAAAGCAGGGGAUCUUCGGACCUUGCGCGAUUGAAUGAGCCGAUGUCGGAUUAGCUAGUUGGCGGGGUAAAGGCCCACCAAGGCGACGAUCCGUAGCUGGUCUGAGAGGAUGAUCAGCCACACUGGAACUGAGACACGGUCCAGACUCCUACGGGAGGCAGCAGUGGGGAAUAUUGGACAAUGGGCGCAAGCCUGAUCCAGCCGUACCGCGUGGGUGAAGAAGGCCUUCGGGUUGUGGAGCCCUGUUGUUGGGAAAGAAAAGCAGCAGGUUAAUACCCCACUGUUCUGACGGUACCCAAAGAAUAAGCACCGGCUAACUUCGUGC